AUGGAAGAAGUGAACGACAGCCAGCUUCCGAUGGAGCCGCUUCACUACCCGGCGAUGGCGACUGAAGCUGAGCAGCUCCCGCCCAUGGCGACUGGUAGCGUUCAGGGGCAGAUCUGUGCGGCCGAGGGGGGAGCCAUAGGCGACGGGGAAGCCGAGCCGCAGGCAUCUGAACAAUCAAUUGGACAGAUUGAUCCUGAGACUCCAGGCUGGACUCGCAGGGUUAGAAUUGGAGCAGCUGCACCCGGAAGGGCACCUUGCCGUGGGCGAAUCAGCGCCCUUGAGAAGGCGAUACGGGGGUUUGCUGAUCAACCAGGGGACAUGGUAAUUGUCCCAGCACUUGGUACAAGCUUCGAUACACUCGAGGAGGCAUAUGACUUUUACAAUCUCUACUCGCGGGAGAAGGGUUUUGGAAUGUGGGGAGUACAAAGUGCAAGCAAGAAAUUGUUUGUGGCUGUGCGGGAAAAGCUGGAGUGGAGAAUACUAGAGCUUGCCGAUGCGAGUGCCCUGCACUGA
This 513-nucleotide ribosomal RNA is filed under the name Triticum aestivum (bread wheat). RNAcentral's name for it is "partial small subunit ribosomal RNA". The record is from RNAcentral. Lineage: Eukaryota; Viridiplantae; Streptophyta; Magnoliopsida; Poales; Poaceae.